Molecule: long non-coding RNA, 2092 nt
Organism: Ostrinia furnacalis (Asian corn borer)
Lineage: Eukaryota; Metazoa; Arthropoda; Insecta; Lepidoptera; Crambidae
Exons: 2
Source: RefSeq, a predicted model, not a curated record
CCUACAUCUUAUAAAGUAUUCAGUACAACUGUACUUAGAGCCUUGUGUAGUGUUAUUGUAAAUUGUGAUGAAUUUUAUGUAUAUCAGGGAAUAAAUAAAUUUAUUAGCAAGCAAACUUAUUUUAAUUUCGCUUCUUAUCCUCGUGCAAGGUGAGUUGUUUUUGCUCCUAUUAAUCCUUAACACGUUGUCGUCUGUGGAAUGAUUUAACAUGACUUAACCAGGAAUCUCCAUUCGAGCAAUAAUAGAUUUUUGUUUGUACAGUUCGAGCGCCCGACGGAAUUACAGUUCGCCUAAUGCCAGGACGGCGGAAAAUUGUUCGCUCAUGGGUAUUAUGAAUGCUGGCGACCGGAUGAUACGUAGCCUAUCUUAAGUGCAGUAGUACAAAUUGAUGAACGAAUCUGUGAUAUUCGCAUUUGGUAGUUAGUUACGCGGAAAAGUCUGAUUUUGUUAUACAAUUUUGAUUUAACACAUUCCAAAACCUGCACGAAUAAAUAUUUAUUACGUUGAUUGUUUCCUAUUCUCUCUGAGUGCUUUGUUGUGCCAAAUGCGGAUAACGGCUGGUUAUUUACAUUUCUACACUGCACUUAAGGUGGAUAGGACUCGAAUUACAUAUAAGUUUAUAUACAGUUACCUUUAGAAAGUUAAGGAAAUUGUACCCCGAUGUUGACUUACAUGCAACGUGUAUACAGCAUGUAAAAAACCGUCCGAUGCGAAAGGAGUGAUUCUAGUGCUGAAAUACUAAAAAUUUUUGUAGGUAAUAAUAUUUUAUUUUCAUCAAAUUGAACCAACUAAUAAAUUACGGAUGUAGGAAGUAUUUUACACAUUUUGAUGUUUCAACAUUGUUCGCGUUCGAAAAUUUAUUGUCUGAGCACAAGAAUCACUGGCCUUUCGGAUAGGAUUGUUUACGCUUUUUAAACACGUUACUAUACAAUACAUUGUAUUGUAAAUUAUAUACGUUAUUUUCAAAAAUGUUAAAAGCGAUUACUGUCGCUAAACUGCUUCCGCCAUUUAGCUUCUUUUUAUUGCCAAUUAUUUAGGUAAAAUAAUAUUACGUAAACACAAAGUUGUAUCGGAAUUCAAUUUAGGAACUAAAUUAAAUUACAGAUUAAUUUUAUUGUAUUCGGAGAUAUUAUGAAAUUUAUCAUUAUCUACAAAAUGUAUCAUUUGGGUGUAAGCCUUACCCAUACAUUUUAACAAUAAUACAAAUAAAUAUGGCUUUUUAAUAGUGCAGACUGUGUAAGUAAUACCUACGUAGAAAAACAGUCAAGGAUUGGAUAAAUUUAUGAUAUUUCUUAUCCACUAUCUAUUAUAGUUAUACACAUAUAAAUGGAAAGUCUCUCUAUAUUUUAAUAACGGAAAUAUUGUGAUCUAACGUCAUAAAUAUGCAUAAUCUCUCACAUUUAAUCUGUUUCUCAAAUAUUUCGCAUUGGGAUUGAUUUAAUUUAUUCACCAAACUGUUAGGUCGAGAAAGAGUCAAGAUUUGCCCGUGAAAAUGGUUUAUUUUCUUUACAUAAUUGGUAAGACUACAGUUAUUAGAGUAUUUCAAUACCUCUCGAAUCACUCGACCACCCAUUUAGGUAUAUUAAUAUUUCAGAAUCAUACAGAUCAGAAUAGUAGCAUUCUCCCCCGCUAUGUUGAUCGUAGAGCAUUCUGAUAUUUUUCACAGAAAAGUCUAUUACACGGUAGUAGAUAGGUACAACUUAUAUGUACAUUUUUAUAUUUAUUUGGUAUUUGAAAUGCAAUUUAACUGUCCACUUCCGCACAAAAUAAGAAUGAUUCAGAAUCAAACGAAGUGGUUUGGUAAAACGCUCAGCCGUGGCUAGCCGUAGUGUUAGUUACGUAUGAUAUAGUAGUCACCUGGCGCUAUGGUUUGCCAUGUCAGAAGUUCAGAACAAACAGUCCCCAACUUCAAGAAAAAAACGCUGAUGGGUCUAUCUAAUGAUGAUGAAGUAAAAACAAGGCAGGAUGGCAAAGAGCAAUAGCUAUGGGCAGAGAUUCUCGGACGAAAUCAAGCAUUAUCAAAUUAGAAACAGACGACCACCCCAGCAUACACAGAUGGUGCAAUAGCUACCAAGACUCUUGGUCCAAGAAC